Molecule: transfer RNA, 73 nt
Filed under: Thermoplasmatales archaeon SM1-50
Lineage: Archaea; Methanobacteriati; Thermoplasmatota; Thermoplasmata; Thermoplasmatales
Also listed under: 3 other names
Description: tRNA-Trp
Rfam family: tRNA
About the family: Transfer RNA (tRNA) molecules are approximately 80 nucleotides in length. Their secondary structure includes four short double-helical elements and three loops (D, anti-codon, and T loops).
Source: RNAcentral
GGGAGCAUGGUGUAACCCGGCAUCAUUACGGGCUCCAGACCCGUCGAUCUGGGUUCAAAUCCCAGUGCUCCCA